UAGGGAAUCUUCCACAAUGGACGCAAGUCUGAUGGAGCAACGCCGCGUGAGUGAAGAAGGUCUUCGGAUCGUAAAGCUCUGUUGUUGGUGAAGAAGGAUAGAGGCAGUAACUGGUCUUUAUUUGACGGUAAUCAACCAGAAAGUCACGGCUAACUACGUGCCAGCAGCCGCGGUAAUACGUAGGUGGCAAGCGUUGUCCGGAUUUAUU
RNAcentral lists this ribosomal RNA (208 nucleotides) under uncultured bacterium. RNAcentral describes it as "partial 16S ribosomal RNA". It matches the Rfam family "Bacterial small subunit ribosomal RNA", at positions 355 to 555 of the family's 1533-position model. The record is from RNAcentral.